Molecule: ribosomal RNA, 608 nt
Filed under: Hanseniaspora thailandica (nom. inval.)
Lineage: Eukaryota; Fungi; Ascomycota; Saccharomycetes; Saccharomycodales; Saccharomycodaceae
Description: LSU rRNA
Rfam family: Eukaryotic large subunit ribosomal RNA
Source: RNAcentral
AGCGGAGGAAAAGAAUACCAACUGGGAUUACCUUAGUAACGGCGAGUGAAGCGGUAAAAGCAUCAAAUUUGAAAUCUGGUACUUUCAGUGCCCGAGUUGUAAUUUGUAGAAUUUGUCUUUGAUUAGGUCCUUGUCUAUGUUCCUUGGAACAGGACGUCAUAGAGGGUGAGAAUCCCGUUUGGCGAGGAUACCUUUUCUCUGUAAGACUUUUUCGAAGAGUCGAGUUGUUUGGGAAUGCAGCUCAAAGUGGGUGGUAAAUUCCAUCUAAAGCUAAAUAUUGGCGAGAGACCGAUAGCGAACAAGUACAGUGAUGGAAAGAUGAAAAGAACUUUGAAAAGAGAGUGAAAAAGUACGUGAAAUUGUUGAAAGGGAAGGGCAUUUGAUCAGACAUGGUGUUUUUUUAAUGUGCAAGUCUCUCGUGGACAUGUGCCUCUGGAAAUUAACACUGGGCCAACAUCAGUUCUGGCGGCAGGAUAAAUCAUUAAGAAUGUAGCUACCUCGGUAGUGUUAUAGCUUUUUGGAAUACUGCCAGCUGGGAUUGAGGACUGCGCUUCGGCAAGGAUGUUGGCAUAAUGGUUGAGAAUGCCGCCCGUCUUGAAACACGGACC